Molecule: ribosomal RNA, 418 nt
Filed under: uncultured bacterium
Lineage: Bacteria
Description: bacterial SSU rRNA
Rfam family: Bacterial small subunit ribosomal RNA
Source: RNAcentral
UAGGGAAUUUUGCGCAAUGGAGGAAACUCUGACGCAGCAACGCCAUGUGUGGGAUGAAGCAUUUCGGUGUGUAAACCACUGUCAGCAGGGAAUAAAUGGUCUCUUCGGAGGCAGUUGAAUGUACCUGCAAAGGAAGCACCGGCUAACUCUGUGCCAGCAGCCGCGGUAAUACAGAGGGUGCGAGCGUUGUCCGGAAUCACUGGGCGUAAAGGGCGCGUAGGCGGCCUGGUAAGUAGGGGGUGAAAUCCUGCGGCUCAACCGCAGGGCUGCCUUCUAAACUGUCAGGCUGGAGCACGGUAGAGGCAGAUGGAAUUCCCGGUGUAGCGGUGGAAUGCGUAGAGAUCGGGAAGAACACCAGUGGCGAAGGCGGUCUGCUGGGCCGUUGCUGACGCUGAGGCGCGACAGCGUGGGGAGCAAA